GUGUGUCCGUCGUCGACGUACGUCUAGAGUAGUUUGAUCGAUGGCUCGAGGACGACGCUGGCGGUGUGCUUCACACAUGCAAGUCGAACGAGGUAGCAAUACCUAGUGGCGGACGGGUGAGUAACGCGUGGGAAUCUGCCUUUAGAUGGGGGAUAACGGGUCGAAAGACUCGCUAAUACCGCAUAUGACGAAAGUUGAAAGGAGUAAUCCGUCUAAAGAUGAGCCCGCGUCCGAUUAGCUAGUUGGUAGAGUAAAAGCCUACCAAGGCGACGAUCGGUAGCUGGUCUGAGAGGAUGAUCAGCCACAAUGGGACUGAGACACGGCCCAUACUCCUACGGGAGGCAGCAGUGGGGAAUUUUACGCAAUUGGCGAAAGCCUGACGUAGCGACACCGCGUGAGCGAAGAAGCCCCUUGGGGUGUAAAGCUCUGUCAGCUGGAACGAAAAAAAUGACGGUACCAGCAGAGGAAGCAUCGGCUAACUACGUG
This 486-nucleotide ribosomal RNA is filed under the name uncultured bacterium. RNAcentral's name for it is "bacterial SSU rRNA". It matches the Rfam family "Bacterial small subunit ribosomal RNA", at positions 1 to 507 of the family's 1533-position model. The record is from RNAcentral.